AAAGUGUCAAAACGCAAUUACAUCAUAACGGACAAAACUAAGCUACAAUCAAAUUGCAAAAGCUGCAGCAAGCGCCAAAACCCAGCUGCAGCCAAAACGCAAAGGCAACACACGCAUCAGCGGUAAACCACGAAAACCAAACCAAGAUUUCCAAAACGCGAAAAUAGCAGCUAGCUGCAAAAUAAAUCAAAAUCAAAAUGCAGUACAAGCCAUCUCAAACGCGAGCCAUACAAGUGAAACAUAGUCGGAUUAAAACACAACUCAUAGCAUACAUCAAAAUAAUAAUGAGUUGCGAAAGCUGGAGCAUAAACGCAAAGCAAUCCGAAAUGCAGCGAAAGUUAUCAAAACACGUAAACUUCAAAACUUUUAUAAAUACCUUGGUUAACGGUGAAGAUGGAUGGCCAAGAUUUUUUCGGAAUUUCUUCUUCCACUCUCUUCUACUUCCACCACCGAUAACAACCGCAACAAACUUUUUCUUCCAUAACCACAACCUCACCUCAUUCGUCAUCGCAACCUUCAUCACCACCGCGAUCCACUUCAACCUCACCUCUCCGCGUACAACCUUCAACAGAAUCGCUUCAUCAACACCAUCUUCUUCUUCACGCAAACAAC
This 612-nucleotide long non-coding RNA is filed under the name Lathyrus oleraceus (garden pea). RNAcentral's name for it is "Pisum sativum (pea) long non-coding RNA (PSAT_LNC011326)". Lineage: Eukaryota; Viridiplantae; Streptophyta; Magnoliopsida; Fabales; Fabaceae. The record is from RNAcentral.